Molecule: ribosomal RNA, 492 nt
Filed under: uncultured bacterium
Lineage: Bacteria
Description: partial 16S ribosomal RNA
Rfam family: Bacterial small subunit ribosomal RNA
Source: RNAcentral
AGUGAACGCUGGCGGUAGGCCUAACACAUGCAAGUCGAACGGCAGCACAGUAAGAGCUUGCUCUUACGGGUGGCGAGUGGCGGACGGGUGAUGAAUACAUCGGAAUCUACUUUUUCGUGGGGGAUAACGUAGGGAAACUUACGCUAAUACCGCAUACGACCUACGGGUGAAAGCAGGGGAUCUUCGGACCUUGCGCGAUUGAAUGAGCCGAUGUCGGAUUAGCUAGUUGGCGGGGUAAAGGCCCACCAAGGCGACGAUCCGUAGCUGGUCUGAGAGGAUGAUCAGCCACACUGGAACUGAGACACGGUCCAGACUCCUACGGGAGGCAGCAGUGGGGAAUAUUGGACAAUGGGCGCAAGUCUGAUCCAGCCAUACCGCGUGGGUGAAGAAGGCCUUCGGGUUGUAAAGCCGUUUUGUUGGGAAAGAAAAGCAGCAGGUUAAUACCCCGCUGUUCUGACGGUACCCAAAGAAUAAGCACCGGCUAACUUCGUG